GGGUACUACGAGCAUAAGCUUAAAACCCAAAGGACUUGGCGGUGCUUUAGACCCACCUAGAGGAGCCUGUUCUAGAACCAAUAACCCCCGUUCAACCUCACCCCUUCUUGUCCAUUCCGCCUAUAUACCGCCGUCGUCAGCAUACCCUGUGAAGGAAACAUAGUAAGCAAAAUUGGCAAUGCCCAAAACGCCAGGUCGAGGUGUAGCAUACGAAGGGGGAAGAAAUGGGCUACAUUUCCUCACUGAGGAAACACGAAUUGUGUAAUGAAACAACACAUGAAGGAGGAUUUAGCAGUAAGCAGAAAGCAGAGUGUUCUGCUGAACCUGGCCCUGAAGCGCGCACACACCGCCCGUCGCCCUCCCCUAUCCAAAACCACUUCUAACUAAAAAUCCACUAGGAUGACAGGUGAGGCAAGUCGUAACAUGGUAAGUGUACCGGAAGGUGCACUUGGAAUAAC
This 458-nucleotide ribosomal RNA is filed under the name Quintana atrizona. RNAcentral describes it as "partial 12S ribosomal RNA". It matches the Rfam family "Bacterial small subunit ribosomal RNA", at positions 875 to 1527 of the family's 1533-position model. The record is from RNAcentral. Lineage: Eukaryota; Metazoa; Chordata; Actinopteri; Cyprinodontiformes; Poeciliidae.